RNAcentral lists this ribosomal RNA (581 nucleotides) under uncultured fungus. RNAcentral's name for it is "SSU rRNA". It matches the Rfam family "Eukaryotic small subunit ribosomal RNA", at positions 1197 to 1801 of the family's 1831-position model. The record is from RNAcentral. Lineage: Eukaryota; Fungi.
GACUCAACACGGGGAAACUCACCAGGUCCAGACACAAUGAGGAUUGACAGAUUGAGAGCUCUUUCUUGAUUUUGUGGUUGGUGGUGCAUGGCCGUUCUUAGUUGGUGGAGUGAUUUGUCUGCUUAAUUGCGAUAACGAACGAGACCUUAACUGUUAAAUAGCCCGUAUCGCUUUGGCGGUACGCUGGCUUCUUAGCAGGACUAUCGGCUCAAGCCGAUGGAAGUUUGAGGCAAUAACAGGUCUGUGAUGCCCUUAGAUGUUCUGGGCCGCACGCGCGCUACACUGACAGAGCCAGCGAGUACUUCCUUGGCCGAAAGGUCCGGGUAAUCUUGUUAAACUCUGUCGUGCUGGGGAUGGAGCAUUGCAAUUAUUGCUCUUCAACGAGGAAUCCCUAGUAAGCGCAAGUCAUCAGCUUGCGUUGAUUACGUCCCUGCCCUUUGUACACACCGCCCGUCGCUACUACCGAUUGAAUGGCUCAGUGAGGCUUCCGGACUGGCCCAGAGAGGUCGGCAACGACCACUCAGGGCCGGAAAGCUAUCCAAACUCGGUCAUUUAGAGGAAGUAAAAGUCGUAACAAGGUU